AAACUUUAUUUCAUAGUUUUACAAUAACUAAGGCCACAUCGUUAGUCACACAAUAAUGGUUCAUUUUGUUAACAUCAUAUCGAUUAUAAUACUUUAUUAUAAUAUAUUCCAAUAAAGUAUAUGUAAUAUAGUUUUUCGAUCAAAAUCUCAUCGCAUGAUUCACAUGUUUUCUUUUUCAUUACUCACCCUAUAGUAGUUCAUUUUGUUAUUAUUAUAUCGCUUUUAAUAAAGUAU
RNAcentral lists this long non-coding RNA (234 nucleotides) under Salvia miltiorrhiza (redroot sage). Its description in RNAcentral is "long non-coding RNA (SMIL_LNC003762)". The record is from RNAcentral. Lineage: Eukaryota; Viridiplantae; Streptophyta; Magnoliopsida; Lamiales; Lamiaceae.